CUUGCACGCGUGCUUUGCACGUGGAACGCCCCUUGCACGUGGAUCGUCCUUGCACGAGGAUCCUCGCACGUGGAUCGUCCUUGCACAAGGAUCCUCGCACGUGGGUCGUCCUUGCACGAGGAUUGUCCUUGCACGUGGGUCGUCCUUGCACGCGCACUUCGCACGAGGAUCCUUGCGAAGGAUGAUCCUUGCACGUGGAUCAUCCUUGCAUGAGGAACGCCCCUUGCACGAGGGGUUUUGCACGCGGAUCCUUGCACGAGGAUUUGCUCACUCAUGUGCGGCUCCUUGCAUACGGAUUUGCUCGCCCACAUGUGGAUCCUUGCACAAGGAUGAUCCUUGCACAAGGAUUUGCUCGCUCACACGCAGAUCCUUGCACAAGGAUGAUCCUUGCACGAGGAUUUGCUCGCUCACGCGUGGAUCCUUGCACAAGGAUGAUCCUUGCACAAGGAUUUGCUCUCACAUGUGGAUCCGUGCACAAGGAUUUGCUCGCUCACGCGCAGAUCCUUGCACGAGGACGAUCUUUGCACAAGGAUUUGCUCACUCACACGUGGAUCCGUGCACGAGGAUGAUCCUUGCACAAGGAUUUGCUCGCUCACGCACGGCGCCUUGCAUGAGGACGAUCCUUGCACAAGGAUUUGCUCGCUCACGCGCGGCUCCUUGCACGCCCGCCCCCCUCGUGCGAGGCCCCCCCGGCGGCGGUGACGGAGCGUGGGCGUGGGCGGGCGUGCAAGGCGGGUCAGGCGGGCGUGCAAGGGGGGUUUUGCACGAGGGUCGCCCCCAGCGCCGAGCGGGGCACGAGGGCGGCGGGGAGGGGCCGGGCCUUGCACACUCACAGCUGCACGGGGAGCCAUUUGCACACUCACAGCUGCACGGGGAGCCAUUUGCACACUCAGGACUGCCCGGGGAGCCAUUUGCACACUCACCAUUGCACGGGGAGCUCCCCUUUGCACACUCACAAUCGCACAAGGACCCAUUUGCACACUCAGGACUGCCCGGGGAACCAUUUGCACACUCACCAUUGCACAGGGAGCUCCCUUUGCACACUCACAAUUGCACAGGGACCCAUUUGCACACUCAUCAUUGCACGGGGAGCCACCAUUUGCACACUUAGAAUUGCACGGGGAGCUGUUUGCACACCCAUCAUUGACGAGGGUGGGCCUCGCUCACUCACAAUCGCACGGGGACCCAUUUGCACACUCACAACUGCACAAGACCCCCCUUGCACACUCACCAUUGCACGAGGACCCCCCCCUUGCAGCCCCGCCCCCCUUGCACGCGCGCCCCUCCCCCGCCCCCAGGGCCGGAAUGUCGCUGCGAUGCCGAUAAGGUGCCGAAGGGGGGGGAGGGGUCGGGGGUCGGGAUUUUGGGGGGGGGCCCGGGAUAGUGGGGGGGGCCCCGACUCUGGGGGGGGGGGGGGGGAGGGGCCCCGUGGGGGGGGGAAGGGGCCCCCGGGGGGGGGGGAGGGGCGGGCCCCGAAUAUUGGGGAAGGGGCUUUGGAGUGGGAGAGGGGCUGAUUUUGGGGGGCUGCCCGGGGGGGGGGUCCGGGGGGGGGGGGGGGGGGGGGGCCAGACCCCUCCUCUCCCCCCCCAAUUUGGGGUGACCAGAAGCCCCUCCCACCUCCCAGUACCCCCAGUCCCCCCCCCAGCCUCAUACUGGUCCCUGUGGCCACUCCCAAAUUCCACGGGGGUCCCCAUUUCCUACGGGAACCCCCCCACAAGAUUUUGGGGACCCCGCCUCAACUUCCACGGGGUCCAUAAACCUCUGUUGGACCCCCCCCCCCCCAAAAUUUAUGGGGAUCCUCAACGCCUUACGGGGACCCCCGAACUCUUAUGGGGACCCCAAAUUUUAUAGGACCCCCCCAGAUUUUAAGGGGUCCACAAACCUCUACAGGACCCCCCCAAAUUUAUGGGAGCCCACUCUUUUAUGGGCCCCCCAAAUUUUAAGGGGUCCCUCAACUUCUGUGGGGCCC
Long non-coding RNA from Chloebia gouldiae (Gouldian finch), 1969 nucleotides. Lineage: Eukaryota; Metazoa; Chordata; Aves; Passeriformes; Passeridae. The record is from Ensembl.